Long non-coding RNA from Gopherus flavomarginatus (Mexican gopher tortoise), 2384 nucleotides. RefSeq lists it as uncharacterized. NCBI's taxonomy places the organism in Eukaryota, Metazoa, Chordata, Testudines, Testudinidae. The record is from RefSeq and is a predicted model, not a curated record. The transcript has 2 exons.
UAAGAGCAGUCAACGAGAGGGUUAAGACUUUAUACUCCCUUGUGCCCAACCCAUAUACGCUGCUAGCCUCUGUGCGGGGACAGUAUUCAUGUUUCUCAGUUCUUGAUUUAAAGGAUGCCUUUUUCACAAUUCUGGUGGACACAGGGUCCCAGGAAAUUUUCUCCUUUGAAUGGGAAGACGCAAACAGGAAUAAAAGGCAACUGUGUUGGACAGUGCUGGCACAAGGAUUUAAGAACUCCCCCACUCUUUUCUGUCAAGCUUUAUCCCUGGACUUGGAAGGAUGGGAAAAUGAGAACAAAGUCCUUCUCCUACAGUACGUUGAUGAUUUAUUAAUCGCAGCAGUGGGACUAGAAGUAUGUCUCCAGGCAACCGUACAUUAAGGACUCUCAGCCACUCCCUUUGGAUGCACCUGUCCAUUCCCUACAGCCAGAUGACUUCAUCCUUGUCCGUACCUGGAAGGACGAACCUCUCCAGGAGAAGUGGAAAGGACCCUAUCUCGUUUUACUGGUGUCCCACACGGCAGCUAAAGUAGAGGGACACAAAAGCUGGAUUCACUACUCCCGAUUAAAAGCUGUACCUCCACCGCAGAAUCCAGACCCCGAGCAGUGGACGGUCCAGCCUACUGGAACCAGAACAUCGGAAGAUUUGGGACUCAAGUUAUUGUUUAAACUCAAAUCACUCUAAUUUGGCCAUGUUUUUAAUACUUGUAUGGGUGUUUACUGUUUCUGGACAGUUGGCCGCUUUAUCUUUCCGCUCCCCAGAAAAUAACUGGUGGGCUCUUUUAGCUGCCACAGCCUCUAAUUCUUCUCACUUUUGUGUAGGGAGCGGUUACACUUUAGGGUCUGUAUUUACUACUUGUUUUGUGGGAGUAGCUAUGCCCUUGCAAGAAAUUCACAAAUAUACUAAACUUGCUGGUUUCAAUAUUAAAUUGACAGCUGGGCAUCUGUCUCAGUUUGGUUCUAUCUCAAAUCCUAAACCCUAUACAAACCAGCAUUGUCUUCAGAUUAGGCUAAUGGCCGUGUCCUCAAAUGUUAUUUCCUGUUUUGCUAUUGUAGGGGCACGGAAGGUUGAUACUAAUUUGACCAACCAUGAGAUGAAUUGUUCUGUUUCCCCAACCCCGACUUCUUAUUUUAAUGCACACUUAUAUCUUCCCCGUGGGUGGUUUUUGCUCUGUGGACUAACCGCAUUUACCUAUGUCCCAGUUAACAGUUCGGGAGGCCCUUGUUCUCUCGGACGAUUAACCAUGGGAGUUGUCCCUGGCCAUGCUCUAGUUUUAAAGACACCUGGACCUAUCCGAGCCCGGAGGGCUCGGCGUGGCCAGCCUCUGGAUGAAACAUGUGAUACUAAGGUAAACUUGGUGUCUAAAUCUCAGGCCAUAGCCCUUGCUACUUCAUUGGUCGGAGUCCCAGGCCUGGCCUUAGAUGCAGAGCUCCAGCUUGUUAAAGUGGCCUAUGCCCUCGCCAAAUCCAUUAAUCUAACUUCCAUUUUAAUCUCUGAUUUGGCCUCGGAACUCACAGGGGUCUGAGAAGGGAUACUCCAAAAAUCGAGCUGCAAUAGAUUACCUCCUCUUAAGGCAUAAUCAUGGCUGUGAGAAAUUUAAGGGUCUCUGUUGCUUUAACCUUUCUGAUCACAGCCAAAGCAUUGAAAAUAGACUGGUUAAGUUGCGUGACAUUGUCACUAACAUAACGCAAAAUAGUGACAAUAAUUGGUGGGGUUCUUGGGGUUUUGGUAAUUGGUUUGGGUGGCUUAAAAGCAUUUUUACCUCUCUGCUAGUAGUGAUAGCGAUUGGUUUGCUCUUCUGCUGUGGUCUGCAGUUAGGAGUGCCUUGUUGUAAAAGUUGUCUUUCUGCCCUCCGUCAGCCAACAGAAAUGUACCCCCUUAGGGCAGUCUCGCUGCCAAUAUCAGGUGGCUUGCCCUUUGACCUUAUUCUAAGUAAUGAAUAUGAGAAAACUCAACGAAAGACCUUUGAGUAUUCUCAAAGGGGGGACUGUUGGGGGGUGCAGGGCUCCAAGUAACUGGCAAUAUGGUGUGGGGUCAGAAGUUUACAUUCUCAGGCCUACGACUGCCUUUCGAGCUAAACAAUAUGUUCCUUUAAAGUUAGCAUGAGUACAUGUAAUCAUUUAUCAUUUUCUUGUGUUCUUUUGUUUAUGGUACAAGAUGUAAUCGAUCAAAGGGGGGAGGGUUAGUAGUAUGGGUUAAGGAUAUAGUUAAUUAAAAGAUCCAGUAGUUAAUGAAUUGUAAAUGAUGAAUUGUAGCACCUGUGAACAUCUUUGUAAACAAGUAAGGUAUAUAAGACAUGGCAAUGAAUAGUGAUGUGUGCAUGAUCUGAGAUUUUACAUCUCCUUGCACCUUAUUUGACUCAAAUAAAGAUACUUGCUUCUCCA